CUUCAUGGACACCCACACAGAUUCACUGGAGAGCAAAGCCUACCAGAGUCCCUGUCAGCAGCACUGUUUCUAGAAGCUUCCACAUGAGCAGACAGCAUGGAGUCCUGGGGGCUAAUGAAGCAGCAAUGUCAGCAUGAGCACAGGCAGGGAGAGGCAAGAGGAGCAGAGUAAAGGGGAACGUUCUCUUCAUUCUUCCACCUGCCUGUCCCCCAGCCGACACGUCCCUUCCGUUCCCUGCAAGGCCAUUUCCAGGGAGGCUUACGAAGACAGCAGAUGAUGGUGAUGGAAGGAGUCUGGGUGCUGAGCUGUGCCAUGGACCUGGAGAGAAACUGAGUCCGAGGGAUGUCAACAUGCCAAGUCCAUGGAAAUAUCAGUGGGCUGGAAUUCUAGCUGCCUGAAAGAAGACAUUCCUCACACAAGACCUCACAAUCAUAUCCAUGGAAUUAUAGCACUGGGCUCUCCAGAUGGUGCUACAGGAAGACCUCCAGAAAUUUGACUCCUCUAUUCAAGGCCCUACCACAGAGACACACAGGAACGGAACUCAGAAUCACAAACAAAGAAACUUUGAUCCAAGAAAGAAAAUGAUCUUUAAAAAGACCCUCGUUUCAUGCUGGCCGAUGCUGAGAAAAUCUGCUCUGAAGGAUAUUUGGAGACACUGAUUAAAAGGUAGUACCAUCACCACAUAUUUAACUUCCCCCUCUUUUUCCUCUGCUUCUAGGAGUAGAGAAACCAACAAAACCAACCGGAGAGAGAUGGUUUCAAACAAUCUGUCCCCCACCCCACCACUAUUCACACCUUUCACAAGGGCCCAGCCACAAAGCCAGUGCAACAUGACAUCAAUCAUCAGCAAAGUGGAGAUGGUUGUCCCAGUGGAGGGGGAUUCUUCGUGUUACGUAGAUAGGAAGCACGAUGCAAAAGUGUUGAAGCAGGAGUGUAAAGAAUAAUUAAAACACCUGCCCAAGACCCAAGCAAGGAUAGGAUUUCCCAGACAUUCGUGAGGGAGAAAAUGCCAUGUCCUUUCCUUCUGGUGUCACAUCAGAAUCUGAAGGCUGCUAGAGAAGGGAGAGAAACAUGAAAGUGAGUCCCAUGCUGAUUGUUGUUGAAAUACCUGGAAAGAAACUGGCAAAGACUAUCCAAGGGAUGCUAAGACAUGUCCGAACUUACAAAACAGUAGAACCUGAAUAGGAAUUUGAAGUUGUCUAUACUCUCCUCAGCCACACCCUGCCAUUUUACAGAUUGUCUUCUCUGGGGAAGUUAGCUGUCAUGUUGUGAGGAUACUCAAGCAGUUUAUAAAGAGGUUCAUGUCGCAAGGAAUGGAGGCCUCCUGCCAACAGCCAUGUAAAGGAGCCAUCUAGGAAAUAGAUUCUCCAGCCCCAGUCAGACCUUCAGAUGAUUACAGCCCCUACCAACCUUCUGACUGCGGUGGAAGGAAGGUUCCGGAACCAGAACCACCCAGGUUAAUGUGGGUAAGUCUCAUCCAAUCCUUUGAAGGCCUGAAGAACAAAGAGUGAGGUUUCUGGAAGAAGAAAAUUUUACCUCAAGCCUGCAAUGUAGAAAUUCUGCUUGAGUUUCCCGCCUGCUGGCCUGCCCUGUGGAAUUCGGAGUCAAGAAGGAGUCUUGUAAGCAUUAACUGAGAUAGUAUAUGAAGAGUGCUUUUGCACCGAGUGAACCUUCAAUCAACUGUACUAGUUUGUAUGCCUGGAAGAGCUGCUAUAUGGGAUCAGAAAGAAAAAUAAGGUGCAUACGCCAGAAAAAAAAUACUUGCAUAUGAGUACUAGGAGAUGCAUGACAAUGUUCACGGCAGCAGUAUUCAUGGCAGUGAAAAAUGAAAAGAACUGAAAUGCCCAUUGAUAAAAACGUCUACUUAUUUGUGUCAUCUUUGCACAGUGGAAUUGUGCGAGUGGAAAUGAUUGAUCUACAGCUAGGAGAAGCAGCAGAGCUCAAUCUCAAAAACAUAACGUUGUGUGGAAAAAGCUAACCUCAGAACACUUUGCGGCUCUAUCUUAGCAAACCAGGAGAGAAAUUCUCCUGAUGGCCUUGAAGAAGCAAACAGCCACCUGGUUAAGCCCCUGUGGAUAGUGCCAAGUGGCAGGAAAGUGGGAGCCACCUCUAGGACCUGAGGAUUAAAGUCAGUAAGAGCUGGGACCUCACUCAUGCAGACUCGAGGACAUGAAUUCGACCAACAACUUGAAUGAGCUUGGAAGUGGAUUCUUCCCUAGUCCAGUCUUCAGAAAUUAAGAAUGUUCCCAAAGAAUGAUGGAGACAUUUCAAAAGGAUACGGAAGCCAGAUUGUGGGCGCUUCUACUGGCCAACUCUGGGACAUCGUGGACAUCAAAAUAAAUUUGUAAUAAUAAAGGAUUAUAGCCUAUUAGUUAAAUCAGAAAAAUCUGAUUUAACUAAAUGAGUAGGAGGAAAAGAAAGCUCUUCCUUAUAUUAGAAAGUCAAUUAAUAAAUGCAGAAAGGAAUGAAAAAAUUAGAAAAGCCACCAUUUGGCAACCAUGGCAGGCAGAAUGGGGAGUAUGCCUCCAGACAGUAAUUCCUUUCAAACUGGUUUAUAGGAACUCACUGAGCUUGCUGAUCGACCUCUGAGAGGCAAAGUUUCUGAAUUAUGAAGUACUGAUUAUAUAAACUUAGACAGAGACAUGCUUCAUUAUUUAAUAGGACUGUGUCAAAAGCCUACUAUUAGGAUGAUGUGUUGGGUGUGGAACAGGGUCUCUUCCUGCCAGGAACACUGGUGAUUUCACUCCGUGUUCAGGCUGAUCUUUGAAGUUGAAGACAAGCAGAAGAAUCCUUCUAAAAUUUAGCCAUGCCCAUAGGCUGGGAGGGACACUGCUCCAUUCAGAGGCAGCAAAGCACAUUACUGUAUCUCCUAUAGAGCUUUGAGCAGUCCAGUGUACAUGGAGAAACUUAGUAAAUGUUGUUGAAUUAGUGAAUGAACAAAUCAAUGGACCAAGUCAGGGGUAAGUCUUACAUUUGUCAUCUAGGUGAUUAAGAAAGGAAAAAGUAUCUGUUUCAAGAGGAUUACAAUCUAACUGUACUCCAAUAGUAAAAUUUACUCUUUUGGAAUCUG
RNAcentral lists this long non-coding RNA (3070 nucleotides) under Homo sapiens (human). RNAcentral's name for it is "non-protein coding lnc-DIRC3-1:4". The record is from RNAcentral. Lineage: Eukaryota; Metazoa; Chordata; Mammalia; Primates; Hominidae.